UUACUGUGAAAAAAUUAGAGUGUUCAAAGCGGGCCUACGCUUGAAUAUAUUAGCAUGGAAUAACACCAUAGGACUCCUGUCCUAUUCUGUUGGUCUUCGGGAUGGGAGUAAUGAUUAAGAGGAACAGUUGGGGGCAUUCGUAUUUCAUUGUCAGAGGUGAAAUUCUUGGAUUUAUGAAAGACGAACUUCUGCGAAAGCAUUUGCCAAGGAUGUUUUCAUUAAUCAAGAACGAAAGUUGGGGGCUCGAAGAUGAUUAGAUACCAUCCUAGUCUCAACCAUAAACGAUGCCGACUAGGGAUUGGCGGAUGUUAAUUUGAUGACUUCGCCAGCACCUUAUGAGAAAUCAAAGUCUUUGGGUUCCGGGGGGAGUAUGGUCGCAAGGCUGAAACUUAAAGGAAUUGACGGAAGGGCACCACCAGGAGUGGAGCCUGCGGCUUAAUUUGACUCAACACGGGGAAACUUACCAGGUCCAGACAUAGUAAGGAUUGACAGAUUGAGAGCUCUUUCUUGAUUCUAUGGGUGGUGGGGCAUGGCCGUUCUUAGUUGGUGGAGUGAUUUGUCUGGCUAAUCCCGUUAACGAACGAGACCUCA
Molecule: ribosomal RNA, 591 nt
Filed under: uncultured marine eukaryote
Lineage: Eukaryota
Description: SSU rRNA
Rfam family: Eukaryotic small subunit ribosomal RNA
Source: RNAcentral